ACACAUGCAAGUCGAGGGGCAGCGGGAUUGAAGCUUGCUUCAAUUGCCGGCGACCGGCGCACGGGUGAGUAACGCGUAUCCAACCUUCCGUACACUCAGGGAUAGCCUUUCGAAAGAAAGAUUAAUACCUGAUGGUAUGAUGAGAUUGCAUGAUAGCAUCAUUAAAGAUUCAUCGGUGUACGAUGGGGAUGCGUUCCAUUAGGUAGUAGGCGGGGUAACGGCCCACCUAGCCUACGAUGGAUAGGGGUUCUGAGAGGAAGGUCCCCCACAUUGGAACUGAGACACGGUCCAAACUCCUACGGGAGGCAGCAGUGAGGAAUAUUGGUCAAUGGACGAGAGUCUGAACCAGCCAAGUAGCGUGAAGGAUGAAGGUCCUACGGAUUGUAAACUUCUUUUAUAAGGGAAUAAAACCUCCCACGUGUGGGAGCUUGUAUGUACCUUAUGAAUAAGCAUCGGCUAACUCCGUGCCAGCAGCCGCGGUAAUACGGAGGAUGCGAGCGUUAUCCGGAUUUAUUGGGUUU
RNAcentral lists this ribosomal RNA (521 nucleotides) under uncultured bacterium. RNAcentral describes it as "bacterial SSU rRNA". It matches the Rfam family "Bacterial small subunit ribosomal RNA", at positions 51 to 561 of the family's 1533-position model. The record is from RNAcentral.